UUAUUUAGAAAUAUAAAGAUUAGAGUAGUAAUAGUUAUGGUCUUGAAACUCAAAAAAUUUGGCGGUAUUUUAGUCUAUUCAGAGGAACCUGUAAUAUAAUCGAUAAUCCACGAUGGAUCUCACUUAAUUUUGUAUUUUAAUUUGUAUAUCGCCGUUAUUUGAAAAUUUUAUAAGAAAAAUAAUUUUCUAAAAUUUUUAUUAAAAAAUAAAUCAGGUCAAGGUGCAGUUUAUGAUUAAGUUUUAUAUGGGUUACAAUAAAUUUAUUUAUACGGAUUAAAAAAUGAAACAUUUUUAAGAAGGUGGAUUUGAUAGUAAAUUUUUAAAGAUAAAAAAAUUGAUU
This 340-nucleotide ribosomal RNA is filed under the name Campsicnemus curvipes. RNAcentral describes it as "partial 12S ribosomal RNA". Lineage: Eukaryota; Metazoa; Arthropoda; Insecta; Diptera; Dolichopodidae. The record is from RNAcentral.